GAUGAACGCUGACAGAAUGCUUAACACAUGCAAGUCGACUCGAGUCUUCGGACUUGGGUGGCGCACGGGUGAGUAACGCGUAAAGAACUUGCCUCUUAGACCGGGACAACAUCUGGAAACGGAUGCUAAUACCGGAUAUUAUGGUUUUUUCGCAUGGAGGAAUCAUGAAAGCUGGAUGCGCUAAGAGAGAGCUUUGCGUCCCAUUAGCUAGUUGGUGAGGUAACGGCCCACCAAGGCAAUGAUGGGUAGCCGGCCUGAGAGGGUGAACGGCCACAAGGGGACUGAGACACGGCCCUUACUCCUACGGGAGGCAGCAGUGGGGAAUAUUGGACAAUGGACCGCAAGUCUGAUCCAGCAAUUCUGUGUGCACGAUGACGUUUUUCGGAAUGUAAAGUGCUUUCAGUCGGGAAGAAGUCAGUGACGGUACCGACAGAAGAAGCGACGGCUAAAUACGUGCCAGCAGCCGCGGUAAUACGUGUGUCGCAAGCGUUAUCCGGAUUUAUUGGGCGUAAAGCGCGUCUAGGCGGCAAGGAAAGUCUGAUGUGAAAAUGCGGAGCUCAACUCCGUAUGGCGUUGGAAACUGCCUUACUAGAGUACUGGAGAGGUAGGCGGAACUACAAGUGUAGAGGUGAAAUUCGUAGAUAUUUGUAGGAAUGCCGAUGGGGAAGCCAGCCUACUGGACAGAUACUGACG
This 693-nucleotide ribosomal RNA is filed under the name uncultured Fusobacteriota bacterium. Its description in RNAcentral is "bacterial SSU rRNA". It matches the Rfam family "Bacterial small subunit ribosomal RNA", at positions 28 to 745 of the family's 1533-position model. The record is from RNAcentral. Lineage: Bacteria; Fusobacteriati; Fusobacteriota.